CCGGUCCCCCGCAGCGCGAUGUCUCACACGGGCGGCCGCGAGUCUGGAGAGCCCGAUCGCAGAGCGGAGCUUUCUUGAAAUCUGAACGCUAAUCUUGCCCCAUUGCAGUUGCUUGAUUAAUCUUUUGUCAUCUAUCUACCUCACAUGGACUCUCCCUGAAGCUGAUUGACAUGUACUUACUCCAUGCUAGGAAUGACCAAGUAAACAUCAUGGAAGCGCUGAGGUUUCAGAAUGAUUACAAAAGAGUAAGCGACAGUUAAACCGGAUUGUCCACUGAUUG
Molecule: long non-coding RNA, 280 nt
Organism: Chinchilla lanigera (long-tailed chinchilla)
Lineage: Eukaryota; Metazoa; Chordata; Mammalia; Rodentia; Chinchillidae
Exons: 3
Source: RefSeq, a predicted model, not a curated record